GCGGCAGAUGGCGACCCGCGCCGCGGCUGAGUCCGCAUCCAUUGCGCGACUCAUUGGCGAAGCACAUAGCUUGACGGGCGAAGGCGUGGGCCUCAGCCAGCAGGUGAAUGCCGGAUUUCAGCAGGUGGAGGUCCAGGCCCGAACGGCCAGCGCUCGUAUGACCGAGGUGCAUGCCAUGACGCAUGAUCUGCUCACCG
This 197-nucleotide unclassified non-coding RNA is filed under the name fungal sp. RNAcentral's name for it is "partial internal transcribed spacer region". Lineage: Eukaryota; Fungi. The record is from RNAcentral.